UGCCAGCCGCCGCGGUAAUACGGAGGGUCCAAGCGUUGUCCGGAAUUAUUGGGUUUAAAGGGUGCGUAGGUGGUUAGAUAAGUCAGGGGUGAAAUCCUCCCGCUCAACGGGAGAACUGCCCUUGAUACUGUUUAACUUGAGUAUACUAAAGGUAGGCGGAAUUGAUGGUGUAGCGGUGAAAGGCAUAGAUAUCAUCAGGAACUCCGAUAGCGAAGGCAGCUUGAUAGAGUAUAACUGACACUGAUGCACUAAAGCGUGGGUAGCGAACAGGAUUAGAUA
This 279-nucleotide ribosomal RNA is filed under the name uncultured bacterium. RNAcentral's name for it is "partial 16S ribosomal RNA". It matches the Rfam family "Bacterial small subunit ribosomal RNA", at positions 506 to 784 of the family's 1533-position model. The record is from RNAcentral.